UUCUUCAUUACAAAAUAUAUGGUGAUCUCCACCCUGCUUCCAUUUAAUUGGAGUUUUGCCAAAAACUUAUACAGGUAGCUCAGGUCCAAAUUCAUUAACAGAAUGGAAAGAUUUACUCUAAAUGUGGGAUGUAGUAGAAAAAUGUUUUGGAGUUACUUUUACAUGGUAAGCAUGUCCUAGCUUGAUGAGGCUGUUUCUUGAACCUAAACUGUAAACAAAGAGCCACACAAAGUUGCAAACCGGUGUAUGGGAUGCUGGAUACAUGCUUAGAAAUUAUGAGAAAAGCUAAUCCUAAAAUACAAUCUUCACCUCACUGAAGUUGGUGAAAACAUUUUCCAUGUAUUUGACUGGUGUCAGGAUUUUAUGCUAGGUACUUACUCUCUUACUUUACAGGAGUUAAUGCAUACUCUGAAAAAUGUUUCAGCACUCUUUCUCCUCAGUUCUUCCUGUUCCUCUGUGAUAAACUGAGUCUUAAAACACUUUCCUAAACCUUCUUCAUAUCCAUGCCCCCUUUUAAAUGAGAAACUCAGUAGAUAUCCCUCCAGCAUUCUGCUUGAGCAACACCAUUGGCAUCACUUUCACACUGUUAGUCAUAAUACACACUGGUAUGAUGUCUUCAAUGAGAAUUUCAAAGCACUUAGCAAAUAUUAAUUAAGUAUUGCGUCUCUGUGAGGUAUGUAAGUAAUUAAUUUUAUAAGCCAACGCCAUGUAAAGGAGAGAGAAGGGUGGAUUCUCACAUAAGUGCAUAGCCUCUUAUUCGUUUACAGUUAUUUUCUUCACGGGUGUCUAGACUUGAAGUUCCCAAUGCAGGUUUUGUAAUGGCCCCAGCAACAGGAAUACUUGUGAAGCUGAACUGCAAGACACCUCUCACAUUUCCAUUAUGUGAAAGGAUGUUGAUUCAACUUUGUAGUAAGGUGGAGUUACAGUAAAUCAAGGCACUAGAGAAGACAGGUGAAGAAUUUAAGACUUGAGCUUCCCUGCCUUCAGUUCUUAAUAACAGAUGUUCCUAAUCUUCUGUUGCCCCAUGUUUGUUUUUCUACAGAUAGAGAAGAACUUUCUGGAUGUUGCAGGCUUCUUCUUCCCAUACACAUUUACCCUUUCUGCCUGGAAAUCAAAUUUAGGUAGAUUUUGAGGACUUCAUUAAAAAUUCAGGGCUUUCUGGAUGCUUGGUAGGUGUAGGAAGCAGACAUUCCUGAACUAGUUGCUGCAUGCCUGGAAACCGUGGACAUAAGGACUGUGAGCAUGCUCUGCAGUCACAGAACAUGAAGCAGCCUAGCGGGAACAGCUGUCUGUGUGCCGUGCUCUCUUGCCGUGCAUAGUAAAUCCGAAACUCUUCAGAAACAGCAGACUUGCUGUAAACAUGUUGUGUAGCUACUAGGACUGUGCAGUCUGCCUCAUACUUUCAGGAGGGAACUAUGCAGUUAUUUGCAUAUAGAUCAUACAUCCGCUCGUUCCUGGGUGUGCUGCAGCUGCUGCAUAUGCACUUUGCUGCCCGUGAAAUCCUCUGUAGGCACAGGGGAUUCCUACCCCUAACGCUUGCUUCCUUAUAUCUACACUCUUCCACAGCAACAUUGAUCAGGACUCAUUCCACUUCUUCCUUUGAUUUCCCUUUUCCCUCUAAUGACAAAUACUUGGAGUAAUGUAGUACUUCCACGAGACACCCUGAGACAAUUUCACAGUUUGCUGCUGCCAAAAGAGAGAGGUGGCAGUUCCCAGUCCCUAUGGUCCUGGUCAUCCUGAUGCUCCCAUUGUGUAGGUUCUGGUGUGUGCUGGGUCUUUUGACUUACUAGCCUGGAAGAA
Oxyura jamaicensis (ruddy duck) is the source of this 1800-nucleotide long non-coding RNA. RefSeq lists it as uncharacterized. The transcript has 2 exons. NCBI's taxonomy places the organism in Eukaryota, Metazoa, Chordata, Aves, Anseriformes, Anatidae. The record is from RefSeq and is a predicted model, not a curated record.